RNAcentral lists this ribosomal RNA (639 nucleotides) under uncultured marine eukaryote. Its description in RNAcentral is "SSU rRNA". It matches the Rfam family "Eukaryotic small subunit ribosomal RNA", at positions 618 to 1260 of the family's 1831-position model. The record is from RNAcentral.
GUUAAAAAGCUCGUAGUUGGAUUUCUGUUGAGGAUGACCGGUCCGCUCUUUGAGCGCGUAUCUGGUUCAGCCUUGGCAUCCUCUUGGGGAACGCUACUGUGCUUGAUUGCAUGGUGCGGUAUUCAAGACUUUUACUUUGAGGAAAUUAGAGUGUUCACUGCAAGCGUUAGCAAUUGAUUACAUUAGCAUGGAAUAAUAAUAUAGGACCUUGGUACUAUUUUGUUGGUUUCUAGAACUAAGGUAAUGAUUAAUAGGGACAAUUUGGGGCAUCCGUAUUAACGCGUCAGAGGUGGAAUUCUUAGAUUGCGUUACGACGAACUACUGCGAAAGCAUUUGCCAAGGAUGUUUUCAUUGAUCAAGAACGAAAGUAUGGGGAUCGAAGACGCUUAGAUACCGUCGUAGUCUAUACCAUAAACUAUGCCAACUAGAGAUUGGAGGUCGUUCUCUUUAUGACUCCUUCAGCACCUUAUGAGAAAUCAAAGUCUUUGGGUUCCGGGGGGAGUAUGGUCGCAAGGCUGAAACUUAAAGGAAUUGACGGAAGAGCACCACCAGGAGUGGAGCCUGCGGCUUAAUUUGACUCAACACGGGAAAACUUACCAGGUCCAGACAUAGUAAAGAUUGACAGAUUGAUAGCUCUUU